CGCAUCUGUGCAUGCAGCAUAUCAAUAAGCGGAGGAAAAGAAACUAACAAGGAUUCCCCUAGUAACGGCGAGUGAAGCGGGAAGAGCUCAAAUUUGAAAUCUUAAAGGGUUUCCCUUUACGAAUUGUAGUUUAAAGAAGUGUUUUCUGUUGAGGUUUUGGUAAAAGUUCUUUGGAAUAGGACAUCAUAGAGGGUGAGAAUCCCGUAUUUGACCUUUACUUUCAACUUUGUGAUACACUUUCAAAGAGUCGGAUUGUUUGGGAAUGCAGUCCAAAAUGGGUGGUAAAUUUCAUCUAAAGCUAAAUAUUGGCGAGAGACCGAUAGCGAACAAGUACCGUGAGGGAAAGAUGAAAAGAACUUUGAAAAGAGAGUUAAACAGUACGUGAAAUUGUCAAAAGGGAAGCGCUUGACACCAGUGUUGUUUUUCUGAAAAUCAAUUAAAGAACUGUUUAUGCUAAGUUGUUUAGACCUUAUCAGCUAACUGUUUAGUUUUGAGCUUUUCUUUAAUGCACUUUUCAGUUAGCAAGUCAACAUCAAUUUCUUUUGCUGUAAAAAAGCUUGAGGAAGGUGGCUUGAGAUUCGUCUUAAGUGUUUAUAGCCUCUUGCCUAUGCAGUCGGAGAGAUUGAGGUCUGCAGCGUAGAUCCUUCGGGGCUAAAUGCAUUUGUGCUAAGUUAUAGCAUUUUAUAGACAACUUGUUGACUAUGAUUUGUCUUGUAGCUUACUCGCUUAUGUUAUUUUACCUACGCUUAGGAUGUUGAGUCAUCACACAUCUCU
RNAcentral lists this ribosomal RNA (774 nucleotides) under uncultured Neocallimastigales. RNAcentral's name for it is "partial large subunit ribosomal RNA". It matches the Rfam family "Eukaryotic large subunit ribosomal RNA", at positions 26 to 614 of the family's 3401-position model. The record is from RNAcentral. Lineage: Eukaryota; Fungi; Neocallimastigomycota; Neocallimastigomycetes; Neocallimastigales.